GAUGAAGAACGUAGCGAAAUGCGAUAAGUAAUGUGAAUUGCAGAAUUCAGUGAAUCAUCUAGUCUUUGAACGCACAUUGCGCCCCCUGGUAUUCCGGGGGGCAUGCCUGUCCGAGCGUCAUUGCUGCCCUCAAGCACGGCUUGUGUGUUGGGCCUCCGUCCUCCUCCCGGGGGACGGGCCCGAAAGGCAGCGGCGGCACCGCGUCCGGUCCUCGAGCGUAUGGGGCUUCGUCACCCGCUCUUGUAGGCCCGGCCGGCGCUUGCCGACACAUCAAUCUUUUUUCCAGGUUGACCUCGGAUCAGGUAGGGAUACCCGCUGAACUUAAGCAUAUCAAUAAGCGGAGGA
This 345-nucleotide unclassified non-coding RNA is filed under the name soil metagenome. RNAcentral's name for it is "partial contains 5.8S ribosomal RNA, internal transcribed spacer 2, and large subunit ribosomal RNA". The stretch from base 1 to 120 matches the Rfam family "5.8S ribosomal RNA", at positions 35 to 154 of the family's 154-position model. The record is from RNAcentral.